CUCUUCAUGAAUGGCUGGGUGGCCGUAGUUUGGCGUGACUGGCGUCUCCGUGUGUCUGCAUGAUCCGGCUGCCCUGCGAUUGUACGCGUAGCCUUCUGCUCUCCUGGCUGCUGAUUUAAAAUGUGCCGCCCAGCGCCGUGGGUUGACGCAGCUUUGUUUUGUUGAGGUUUGAACUUUGGCCACUGAUUUUGAAGUGGAGCUUGAAGAGGAGAGAAGAGGAGGAUCUUCUCAUCUGUAGCUGACAUAAGCACAGAGCGAAAAAACACUUCCAGAGGGAGCGCGGUGAUGAUGCCAUUGUCGAAGCAUGACAUUUAAACAAGACCCAGAUCUCUUACCAGUCCCAACGCCAUGGUGACAGGAAUAGUGAUGCAAAAAAUGGACUGCAGUAUAAACCCCUCAAGGGUCUUUCAGCCAGAGCCCUGCAAUGGACUUUAACACCACACAGACACAUUAAAAGAACAAUAGUAGGCUAAGUGGACAUACUAUGAAUAUAUUUAAAUAUAUUGGAUAUAACAAGCCUUCACAGAAAAGGCCAAUUAUUUUGUCAUCUGUUCAAUUCAGCCCAUGUUCUGUCUGCAUAUCUACAUAUAUGCAAAAGCAUAUAGAAAAUUCCUAUAACACACUAAAUUAAUUAAGUAUUGGUAACUACUAAUAAUAUAAAGAGAAAAAAAGAUUCGUUUUUUUACAUUUAAAUAUGGAGUUUUGCCAAAAUAGCUGAGAUUAAAGCAGCUAUAAUCAAUAUAUUAAUAUCAUCAAUGGAUCAAAUGACUAUUUGUAUGCCACUGUUUUGCUUCACUCUCAACACUGUAAAAACCCACUGUGUGCUAGGGACCUAUAUGCUACAGUGCGGGUAAUGGACUAAGUUAGGCUGGAGCACUUAGAUAUCAGAUCCCUCAGCAAUAGCAGUUAAUGUCAAAAAUAGAGCUAAAAGGAGAGUGAAUAUUAGACUUAACUUUGGCCCAGAAAUGUGACUCUAAAUUCAUGCUAAUGUUGCCAUAUAUCUGCUGGAUGACGGUGAAUUGUUUGCUAACAUGCUUGACAUAUCGUAGUUAUCUUCACAGCUAGUUCUGCUAUCCCCAAGUGGCCAAAAGAUUUUCUCUAUCCGGAGUGUUCAUGUAAAACUACUUCUACAAGAAGGUCCAUUUUGUGCGUAGAAGUAUCUUAUUAGGCAGCGAUAUACAAAUAUGAAGGCAUACAUGCACAUACAACUGAACCACAUGUCUGCUUAAUAAUUCUCUUUGGAUGUUUCCGUUACAAGUUCAAGUCGAGCCUGAGUUAGAUGAUUUCUUUGUUAACUCUGCGAUGCAGUUGUGUGCACUCGCUGUUUCUGUGAUAAUAUAAUGUUUCAUUUCAUUAAGUCUGAAAGAUUCCCUGGGCACAGCAGGUGGAACGGUAUCUAUCUUCAGAUCAAUUAAACUUGUUAUAUCGUUACAAUUGCAUAACAUUGCAUUAGUAACAUUUUCCCAAUCACUAGAUGAAAACGAAUCCCUCAGCUGACUCUGCAGUGUGAUCCUUCUGUCAUUUUCCUGCCGCAGUUAGAUGCUCUGUGUAUACGUUUGAGCUUUGCACGCCCCUGUCUCUCUUCCAGACAAUCCUCUGCAGAUUUCAGUUUCAUAAUAAAUGUAUUUCACGCCAUUCAGCCUGAGACACUCUCUCGUGAAACAAACACCAAAGCACAAUGUCUAUUCAUAGCUCAUUAAAGCUAAUAUAAUAACUACAUAAACAGCUCGGCCAGACAGAGCCUGACAACAUCAUUUUGAAUGUUCAUUAGAAGAAUAUAAUCAAACCAGUCAGCUAAUUGGCUUGACUACUGUAUUAGCACCAGUUUGCUAUUGCGAAUCAGCUCUCACUUUGGUCACUAAUCACACUCACCUCAGAAAUACAGUAAGCAAGAUAUGUGUAACUGCAGUGUAUAUGUGUCUCUGUGCUCUGAUUCCUAUAAUACGGCUCUGUAUUACAUACACUGUAUAUGGGCUUGCUUUCCUGCAGCUCAUUUAAAUGUCGGAGUUGGGUACUUGGAUCCAGACAUACUAUUGAAAGGCAAAAGCCUGAACCAGCCUGCUUUGAAGUCUCAUUUCCUGUUGUACUGAUCUUUAAGCUUUGCCUUUAGGCACCUGUUCAAUACAUAAUGCACAGCAACCCAACUAGAAAUAUACGAGGAAAAAAAAAAAAGGUUCACUUUACAUAAAUCCGAGCACCGUUAACUGCAAAGUAAAGCCUUUUUUCAUCUAUAGACCAAAGUUUAUAGGAUGGUGGAAUUACUGUUGAUUAGUAGGUGGUCACCAGCCAAGGACUUUGCAUUCAAAUUAUGUUUACUUACCGGUUUAGUCUUGGAGGACGUACAAGAUGCUUUAUUAAUUCUAUUUUGCUCUUCAGUCAGUAAACAGCUCCGGGGCAUUAAAUGAGACAGUAAUGGCAGUUUGUUUUAUGUUGCUCUCAACUAUUGCGUCUUCUAAUGGCUUUUAAUAAACCUUGUGUUUAUCAUCAAAGGAAAAGCUCUGUGAUGUCCUCUCCUUUUUCCAAAGAUUAGCUCCUUAGGCAUAUUUCAUAUAUUGUUUUGGAAAUAAUGUUCUUACACAUUUGAAGUCCUUUGAAAUGUUUGAUAUUUUGUGGAAAAAAAUGGUUAUAACCAGGUGUUUGAAAUACAUUCAAGGAAGAGUGCAAUACCUAUAUUCUUAUUAGCCAAUCUCUGUCUCAUUAUAUUGUUACGGUUCUGCACCCAUCCUCCCAAUAUGUGAGUGAAUUAGCCCAAAAGGUAAUGAAUAGACUGCCGUGAAAUUUCAAACAGAAAUUCAUGUCCAUUUCAGGAUGAGCUGUAAUAACUCAGGUAAUCCUCCUGACUGAGGGCAAUGUUAAAGGAAGAAAUAAGAGCACAGUUAUUGUGUUGUUGUUCAAGUUGUAUGUGUUUGACAUUCAUGAAAUGAAUAAUUGCAUUCCAAAACUUAAUAAA
Seriola aureovittata is the source of this 2950-nucleotide long non-coding RNA. RefSeq lists it as uncharacterized. The transcript is spliced from 3 exons. Lineage: Eukaryota; Metazoa; Chordata; Actinopteri; Carangiformes; Carangidae. The record is from RefSeq and is a predicted model, not a curated record.